GUCGAGCGAACGGACGAGAAGCUUGCUUCUCUGAUGUUAGCGGCGGACGGGUGAGUAACACGUGGAUAACCUACCUAUAAGACUGGGAUAACUUCGGGAAACCGGAGCUAAUACCGGAUAAUAUUUUGAACCGCAUGGUUCAAAAGUGAAAGACGGUCUUGCUGUCACUUAUAGAUGGAUCCGCGCUGCAUUAGCUAGUUGGUAAGGUAACGGCUUACCAAGGCAACGAUGCAUAGCCGACCUGAGAGGGUGAUCGGCCACACUGGAACUGAGACACGGUCCAGACUCCUACGGGAGGCAGCAGUAGGGAAUCUUCCGCAAUGGGCGAAAGCCUGACGGAGCAACGCCGCGUGAGUGAUGAAGGUCUUCGGAUCGUAAAACUCUGUUAUUAGGGAAGAACAUAUGUGUAAGUAACUGUGCACAUCUUGACGGUACCUAAUCAGAAAGCCACGGCUAACUACGUGCCAGCAGCCGCGGUAAUACGUAGGUGGCAAGCGUUAUCCGGAAUUAUUGGGCGUAAAGCGCGCGUAGGCGGUUUUUUAAGUCUGAUGUGAAAGCCCACGGCUCAACCGUGGAGGGUCAUUGGAAACUGGAAAACUUGAGUGCAGAAGAGGAAAGUGGAAUUCCAUGUGUAGCGGUGAAAUGCGCAGAGAUAUGGAGGAACACCAGUGGCGAAGGCGACUUUCUGGUCUGUAACUGACGCUGAUGUGCGAAAGCGUGGGGAUCAAACAGGAUUAGAUACCCUGGUAGUCCACGCCGUAAACGAUGAGUGCUAAGUGUUAGGGG
RNAcentral lists this ribosomal RNA (786 nucleotides) under Staphylococcus sp. 1CI-102-1_x7. RNAcentral describes it as "bacterial SSU rRNA". It matches the Rfam family "Bacterial small subunit ribosomal RNA", at positions 61 to 829 of the family's 1533-position model. Lineage: Bacteria; Bacillati; Bacillota; Bacilli; Caryophanales; Staphylococcaceae. The record is from RNAcentral.